This is a long non-coding RNA of Cyprinus carpio carpio, 1497 nucleotides long. Lineage: Eukaryota; Metazoa; Chordata; Actinopteri; Cypriniformes; Cyprinidae. The record is from Ensembl.
UUGUAAGGUAUCAUGUAUAAACUGCUGGUGGGGAAAGUGUUAAUAAUUUGACUUUAUACUGUUUUAUUAAAAAGAUUAAUCAAAGGUCACCUCAAGUAUAAAGUUCAUUUUUUUGGGUUUUGGCCAGGAUAAAAUCAUCCCCAGGUGAUUUAUUGUUAACCUGGUCUAACCGAAGAGGGCAGAUUUGCUGCUGACUCUUAGGCCUGGCUCUCUCUUCAACAUGACCACAUUUACUUCAGUGAUAGGGUAAUAUAUAGCCUAGAUUCAGGCCUUUCACUGGAGACCAACAUUGUUCAUUUUGAAACAUGUGGCGCCUGUCAGGGUACUGUUGAGUUAGGCCUAAAUUUGGCGGCCGCGCUUCAGAACGCAAUAGAGUGUAUUAUUUCUAAUCCAACAGAAAUAGCACCUAGAACGCCGCCCAGGCCAUGCUUAGAACUUGUUUGGAAACCUGAAUUUUAAUUUAAAUGUUCUCUCUUUGACAGCAAAAUGCUCAAGAUGUGCCCCAACUGCAGCGAAGGUGGCUAAACUCAUAGAGGCAGAGGGGUGGACGGCCAAUCAUCCCCGCCCAGAGGACAUCAUUGCAAAGUGGAGGCCACUCAGCAGAGCACAGGCACAGAGUGACCCAGCCAUCAUCAGGGGGGUGACCAGUCAGAAAUGGCCGGGUCUGGCUGUGAAAGAUUUUGGGGGACAGAAAGGUAUAAAGUGAUAUAAGGAGUUGUUGCAACCAAGGCCUUCGGGAAGGGCUCCAUCCUGUGUGAUUUCCAUGGAAAGGUGAUCACAGGUGCUGAGGGCAGGGAGAUAGCAGAGAUGCAGGGUGAGCUGGGCCACCGUUUUUUCUUUAAACAUGGCAGUGAGGAAGUCUGCAUCGAUGCGGAGACCUUCCCCUGUGAGUGCCACCCGUCUCUGGAAACCAAAGGGAGAUGGAUUACGCACUCCAAGAAGAACUUCAACGUGCAGCCACGCCACUGCAUAGUGAAGCUUCAAGAAGGAGACAGGGACGUCCUGCUCUUUCAGGCCACCAAGGACAUUUUCAAAGAUGAGAAGAUCCGCUUCGACCACAGCAUAAAGAAGAGGUCUUUUCGUGGGGAGGAAGAGGAGCUGGAGUGGCUGGAUGACUGACAACCUACCCAGAUGAUCAUUUAUUUCAUUUACUUGCUUAGUAGCCUGGUGGGGGCAAGGUGUGCAUCUUUAUGACAACAUGUGUCAAUAAAGUUUUUAUUUAAUAUAUUUAUGGUUUAACUUCAUUUUUUCCUUUUAUUAGGAGGUAUAGGGGUGAAAUGAAAAUCAAUACAAGUAUAAAAACAUUAACUAUAUAUUCAGUUUAAUAAUGUUGUAAGGUAUCAUGUAUAAACUGCUGGUGGGGAAAGUGUUAAUAAUUUAACUUUAUACAGUAAUCAUUUAUUCCAAAAAAGAAAUAAAACAAUGACUCACCCCAAACUUCUGAAUGAUAGUGUUGAUAAACUUUGAUCCUCAGUAUAGGCUGACUUUCACACCUUU